Molecule: ribosomal RNA, 253 nt
Filed under: uncultured bacterium
Lineage: Bacteria
Description: partial 16S ribosomal RNA
Rfam family: Bacterial small subunit ribosomal RNA
Source: RNAcentral
UACAGAGGUCUCAAGCGUUGUUCGGAUUCAUUGGGCGUAAAGGGUGUGUAGGUGGCGCCGUAAGUGGGGUGUGAAAUCUCGGGGCUUAACUCCGAAACUGCAUUCCAUACUGCGGUGCUUGAGGACUGGAGAGGAGACUGGAAUUCAUGGUGUAGCAGUGAAAUGCGUAGAGAUCAUGAGGAAGACCAGUGGCGAAGGCGGGUCUCUGGACCAGCACUGACACUGAGGCACGAAAGCGUGGGGAGCAAACAGG